RNAcentral lists this transfer RNA (86 nucleotides) under Bacillota bacterium. Its description in RNAcentral is "tRNA-Leu". It matches the Rfam family "tRNA". From Rfam's summary of the family: Transfer RNA (tRNA) molecules are approximately 80 nucleotides in length. Lineage: Bacteria; Bacillati; Bacillota. The record is from RNAcentral. RNAcentral also lists the same sequence under 2 other names.
GCAGAAGUGGUGGAAUUGGUAGACACGCUAUCUUGAGGGGGUAGUGGGCAUCGCUCAUGGGGGUUCGAGUCCCCCUUUCUGCACCA